UGCGUGGCCAGGCAGAGUUUAGUGUUGGGGAUGUGAUGGCUGUGUCGUCCCUCUACACCAACACAACCUUCACAAAACUACCCCAAAAAAUACCCAUUGAUGACUCAGACGCUGUGUUUAAUGUACAGUAGCUGUUUCUUCCCGUCUACUCACAAAACCGGCCAAACAAAAGACUGAUCUAUGACUGUGAUGUGGUGCUUGAUGCCUGACGUGGGUGUCAAGGCAUCUUGUGUAUAUUAAAAACUUCACCAAAAAAAACACUCAAAAAAGAGCGAUUUAUGACUGUGACGUGGUGUUUGAUGCCUGCAGAGAGGCUCUCAAGACAGCGGGUGCAGAAGACUGGAUGGAUCCCAGUAUAGGGUGGUACCAGCCAGAACAACAGGGUCCGGCCAGAGACCUGUGGGCCAGGAUCUGGCUCACCCAGCAGGGUCUUGACAACAUGAACCUCAAUGACAACCAGUUUAUUCCCCUCACCAUACAGGACACCAAUCAGGAACAGACUAACGCAACCAAAACGACCAACAACAGAAACAAUGCCAACAACAACACAAACAACAGUUAUUACAACAGGACCAAGAGGAAACGAGAGAACCGCGCCAGCACCUAUGGCCUCAACCACAACCACAAGAACCUCAUAGGGCAGUUUGGUGGUUGUCCGUGGCGACGAUCACCCAACAACUAUGACCUAGGGGUUGUCGGGCUACACCAAGAAAUGGAGGACUUCUACUCAUGGAUGUGUCCCAGCGAGGAAGAACACACUAUGAGAAAAAGAGUGGUGGAGCGCAUCGAGCAGGUUAUUGUUGAUUUGUGGCCGCAAGCUCGGGUGGAGAUCUUUGGCAGCUUCCGCACUGGCCUCUACCUCCCUACCAGUGACAUUGAUCUGGUGGUGAUAGGGAAGUGGGAUGCCUUGCCACUACGCACUUUAGAGAAAGCUCUUCUGGACAACAAGAUAGCUGAGCCUUCCUCUCUCAAAGUUCUAGACAGAGCUUCAGUGCCAAUUGUGAAAUUAACGGACAGCGAAACAGACGUGAAGGUGGACAUCUCAUUCAACAUGAGCAGCGGCGUGAACUCGGCGCGCCUCAUCAAAGAGUUCAAGAACCGCUUCCCUGCCUUGCCCAAGCUAGUCAUGGUGCUCAAACAGUUUCUCCUCCAGAGGGACUUGAAUGAGGUCUUCACCGGCGGCAUAUCUUCAUACUCCCUUAUCCUAAUGACUGUCAGCUUUCUACAGUUGCAUCAGCGGUUAGAUGCAUCACAGCCCAACGCUAACCUUGGGGUCUUGUUGAUAGAGUUCUUUGAGCUGUAUGGCAGACAUUUCAAUUACCUGAAGACUGGCAUCAGAAUCAAGGAUGGCGGAGCUUACAUCUCAAAGGAUGAGGUUCAGAGAGACAUGCCGGAGGGUCACAGACCGUCCGUCUUGUGUAUAGAAGAUCCCCUCAUACCCGGCAAUGAUAUCGGACGAUCCUCAUACGGAGUGUUGCAAGUGAAGCAAGCUUUCGAAUAUGCUUAUAUUGUUUUAUCUCAGGCUGUGAACCCCUUAAACAACAUCAUAAACGAUCCAAAUCAUUACUCCAUACUCGGCCGCAUCCUGAGGAUAACGGACGACGUCGUCUUGUAUCGACAAUGGAUACGGAAGUCUUUUCCCAUCAGUGGGUCGAUGGCCUCCAGCAACUCCCAUCACCUGACCCCCACACACCCGGCCACGCCGCCCACUCCGCCUGUUGCGUUCCAUACUCCAAAUCAUCUUCAGGUCACUUCUGAUAACCAGUACAACACCAACAAGAACAAUAAUAACAAUAAUAAUAAUAAUAAUAACAAUAAUAAUGCACGUAAUAAGUCCAGCGUCGCCGACGAUGAUACGUUGUCAUCCGAAGCAUCCGAACCGCAUUCCACACCUCCCUCCUCUGUCUCGUCUGUUAGUGAUGACACGGAUUCUGACCAGGCGGUGGACAUGAGUGAGGGGAGUAGAGACAGCUCCCCAAACAUCCAUCACCACCAUCAACUUCACCACCUCAGUGCCACAACAGCUACAAAAUCCACCUUAAAUAAUAUCACCAGUGUCAGCCCUGGCGGCGUGGGAAAGCACUCGUCCUUACCCGGGGGCAGCGUGUCACAACGUGUACCAAGCACCGGGACGGAGGUUCGCACGACUUCCCACCCGGCGGACGGAACAUCGACGAAUAAACAGUCACAUGGCCAGCCACGUAAUGAAUACCCUGCUGUGCCAGCGUGGCAUCCGCACCAACAGCAGGGCGGCAGUUCCCCCGUACAACACGGCAGCAGCCCGGCAAAGCCCUGGCCCAAACACAGGAGAUACUCACAGUCAUCACAAGGGUCAGCAGCUGGUGUUGGGGACAUCCGCAGUGGCAAGGGCAACACUGGCAGCAAGUAUGUAGGGGAAAGCGUCACUAGCGGGAACACCAAUGUCACUCACGUUGGUGGCACCGGAUCCAUCAGCGGCGGCAGCAACCAGGCGAGAUAUCACCGCGUCUCAUAUAAUAAGCGAAAGAAGUCUGCCCGGCGGGACUCCGACGGCAGAAGUGAAACCCGAGACUCUCACCGGUGAUUGAAGGAGGACGUCAAGGUUCCUCCUGCAAGUGGUGAAUGUUUCCCUGGCGACUCUGAUGACCGGACAGAGUUGUAGAAUCCCCGCCUGUGAUUGAAGGUGGACGACGGUCAGGUGACUGUGAUGUUGGCCGUGCCCUGAGAGGCACAGGUCGAACCCUCUUCCGUGUUUCUGUGAAUACCAGCGUGCAGCUCGCUGUUUUGCCGAUGAGUGGAAGAAAAUAAGACGGACAAUUGUGCUACGGCAGCCCCUCCAUUCCCAGAAUCGUUGCGUCAGAAGUACAUUGUGUGCGGACACUUUAUAUCUCACGUUAAGACGAGACUUUGUGUGAGGACGGGUGUCUUCUUCCACGAACCAUAAAGAUUUUAGUAGACCAAUAUCCUUAGAGCUCACUUUUAAGAGUUUUAUUUAUAUUCUUUAAGCUCAACUUGGCUCUUUUGAUGACCCAUUCAAAGGUCAUCCUAAGUCAUUUCAGAUAAAUGUUUUAUAUGAGUUUAAAUUUUGAGAUUGUUCUGUUCAAUCUCAGUGAGUCAUAUUAAGCUCUUGGAGGCAGACGACACAUCAGGGGAAUCUUCUUGUUGGGUGGAUGAUAACUCUGGCCUAUGCAAAAUAAAAAUAAAAAAAAAUAUAUAAAAAAAGAGGACAAAAAAUCCAAACUAGUAGUGAGGGUGGGUAGGUCCCCAGUGGAUGCUUCCUAAAUAGAAUCUUUGUCAUUAGAAACGUGACGUGUGAUUGUGUGUGCGUUUGUGUAUAUGUGUGUGUGUGUGAGGAUGGGGUGGGUGAGUGUUAGGGUGGGAUGGGUUACUCACUUAUUUUUGUGAAUCCCUGUUGGACCAAAAUCUUGUUGCUUGAAAUAAAAUAGUUAUAUUAAUGGAUAUUGUUGUGCAUCUUGAUAAUAGUUUGUUGUUUUUUCCAACUCAUGACAAUUGACCGAGGCUGCUCACUGCCCACACAGUUAACCCGCACUACUUCUCUACUAAAACGACCAGUUGAGGUUUAUGGGAUAGUUGCCACGGCGAGGUGGCAUCAGAUGUCGGCUGCAGGAACGGGAUCGGUUUGUGAGUAAAUAUUUUCCUAGAUUGUGAUUUGCUGUGCCAAGAAACUACUUCUGCCUGAGACUGGUGGUGUACCGUACUGGGAAGUAAAUCCAAAAAUCAUCUAAGUCAUGAAUAGAAGUCCAUAUCAUUUAUGUUCUAAAUAAAUAAAUUAAUGUUCUAAUUCAGUAAUAGAAUAUUUUCCUAUGUGAAUGACAGUGUAGUUGUACCAUAGUUAUUUAUUGUAUUAAUUAUAAAUGCAUUUGACACCUACAUAGGUUGUACACAACUAUGUAUUGGCGUAAAUCGAUCGCUCUUCUAUCUUUAUUUGAACAAGGAGCAGCUAUACACAAGUCAGGUUGUAGCCUCGUGUGUAUUAUCUGACGUAAAUUAGGAUUGAGAUAACACCAUGUGAUAGGUUGAUACUUGUCCCAGUAGAGCCUAUUAAUGAAGACACUACUGUACUUGUGGUUGAUGCUCAGUGUAGCGCUGAGAAUCACAUCAUUGUUGGAAAUAUAUGACAUUGUGAUGUGGGUUUCAUCUUGGAUGCCAGUGUCGUCGGUAAAUUAAGGCUGCCACAGGGCGUGUAGUUCUGACGUAGUACGUUGUUAAGUACUUAAAAGUUUUUAUGCAGGUUCCACCUUGGCCGUGAAAGAGAAUUAACCAAGUUGUGUGUGCCUCUGUUAAGUGGUGAUUACAACUGUGUUUAGCAAAGUGGUAUGUGUCAUGAUGACGUACAGCUGUGGUUAGCAAAGUGGUAUGUGUCAUGAUGAUGUACAACUGUGGUUAGCAAAGUGGUAUGUGUCAUGAUGUACAGCUGUGGUUAGCCAAGUGGUAUGUGUCAUGAUGUACAGCUGUGGUUAGCAAAGUGGUAUGUGUCAUGAUGAUGUACAACUGUGGUUAGCAAAGUGGUAUGUGUCAUGAUGUACAGCUGUGGUUAGCAAAGUGGUAUGUGUCAUGAUAAUGUACCGCUGGUUAGCCAAGUGGUAUGUGUCAUGAUGUACAGUUGUGGUUAGGAAAGUGGUAUGUGUCAUGAUGAUGUACCACUGGUGUAGGAAAGUGGUAUGUGUCAUGAUGUACAGCUGUGGUUAGCAAAGUGGUAUGUGUCAUGAUGUACAGCUGUGGUUAGCAAAGUGGUAUGUGUCAUGAUAAUGUACCGCUGGUUAGCCAAGUGGUAUGUGUCAUGAUGUACAGUUGUGGUUAGGAAAGUGGUAUGUGUCAUGAUGAUGUACCACUGGUUAGGAAAGUGGUAUGUGUCAUGAUGUACAGCUGUGGUUAGCAAAGUGGUAUGUGUCAUGAUGAUGUACAGCUGUGGUUAGCAAAGUGGUAUGUGUCAUGAUGAUGUACAGCUGUGGUUAGCAAAGUGGUAUGUGUCAUGAUGUACAGCUGUGGUUAGCAAAGUGGUAUGUGUCAUGAUGAUGUACCGCUGGUUAGCAAAGAGGUAUGUUUCAUUAGUUAUUGAUAUGUAUUAUGGUUAACCAGAGGCCUCAGGAUAGUUAAUUCCAUCUUGAUCAUGUUAUACUUGCCAUGGUUUCAUGACAGCAGUCAUUGUGUUAUGACAGCUACCAUAGUUUUAUGCCAGCAGUCAUUGUGUUAUGACAGCUACCAUAGUUUUAUGACAGCAGUCAUUAUGUUAUGACAGCUACCAUAGUUUUAUGACAGCAGUCAUGUUAUGACAGCUACCAUAGUUUUAUGACAGCAGUCAUUAUGUUAUGACAGCUACCAUAGUUUUAUGACAGCUACUAUAGUUUUAUGACAGCUACCAUAGUUUUAUGACAGCUACUAUAGGUUUAUGACAGCUACUAUAGUUUUAUGACAGCAGUCAUUAUGUUAUGACAGCUACCAUAGUUUUAUGACAGCAGUCAUUAUGUUAUGACAGCUACCAUAGUUUUAUGACAGCAGUCAUGUUAUGACAGCUACCAUAGUUUUAUGACAGCAGUCAUUAUGUUAUGACAGCUACCAUAGUUUUAUGACAGCAGUCAUUAUGUUAUGACAGCUACCAUAGUUUUAUGACAGCAGCCAUUAUUUUGUGACAACAGCCAUUGUUUUACAAAAGUUGCUUUGUUUUUUUAUGAUAGCUACCAUGAUUUUUGUCACAACUACCAUGAUUUUAUGAUAGAAACCUUGGUUUUAUGACAGCUACCAUGCUUUUAUGACAGCUAUCAUGCUUUUAUGACAGCUACCUUGGUUUUAUGACAACUUCUAUGGUUUCUUGAGGGAUGGCAGGUAAUGCAUGCCUUACUUUACUGAUAGCUGAGUUACUGUCAGGCAAGUCUCUGGUUUUGGUGACCUCAUACAGGUAUUGGCCACCAGGCACAGUUGGGUGUACUGUACUGUACUGAUAAUGACAAGGUUUACUGUUAACUUGACCUGUUGAACUAAGCCCUCACCUAUUUUAGUGUUCUUAAUUACCACUACAAUUUGUAGUAGUUGUUUGGUUGUUAACACUUGAACCGCAAGCAUCAUCACUGAAAUUUAGCCGUAGGGACAGUUGCCAUGAUCAUUGAAUGUUCCUUGUUCUUUGCAUUCCAUUUUUAUGCAUGUGGGGCAGAGUAAGGAAUCCUUAUCUGGUAGUUAAGGAUUAAGAUAAUUGCAGUGUGACUCACAUAACAAGCAGUCAUUCACAGGGAUUUGCAAUAAUUUUUUAGGACACCAAAAGUUGAUGGUACCCAGACAAUAGAUCAGUUAAUACCUUAUUGGCUAAAGUUUGUGGACUACCCAAUCUCCUUCUCUUAUAAUUGAAAUCUUUGCAAAGCAAGUUGUCACAUGAUGGGUUGAACUUCUUGUAUAGUGAGCUGAGUUACAAAAAAAUAAGAUUUGUACAGUCAGGUAAACCAUUAUACAAACAUCUGUACAGUCAGGUAAACCAUUAUACAAACAUCUGUACAGUCAGGUAAACCAUUAUACAAACAUUUGUAUGGCCAAGGUAAACCAUUAUAUGAACAUCUGUACGGUCAAGUAAACCAUUAUACAAACAUCUGUACAGUCAGGUACACCAUUAUACAAACAUCUGUACGGUCAAGUAAGCCAUUAUACAAAUAUCUGUACGGUCAGUACACCAUUAUACAAACAUCUGUACAGUCAGGUAAACCAUCGCAUGAAAACAAGUUUAUGUAACUUGUUUUAACAGCUGAGUGAGUAAACCACAGUAGCCAGAUAGAGCAAGAGGAUUAAUGGUUUGAUAGUUUAAAGAUGACAUCAUAACAAGGUGGCUGGAUAGUUAAGAGAUGACAUCAUAAUGACAUGGUUAGAUAUAUAAGAGACGACAUAACAACAUGGUUAUAUAGUUAAAGAGAUGACACCAAAAUAACAUUGUUGGAUAAAUGAGACGACUUAAUGGCAUGGUUGGUUUUUGAGAUGACUUAAUGACAUAGUUGGAUAGUUAAAAUAAAGAGGUAUGCUGGGCCAAGUAUCGGACAAGUGUUGAGGUGAGCUGUCAUGUAAACAACUGAAGCUUGGAUAUAUUUAUUAGGUUCUUCAUGAAAUUUAAACAAAUACAAAAAUGGUAGGAUUUCUGAUUUUUGUACAAAUAUUUGCAGUGUGAAUAUUGCCUUGGAAAAUUUCUUAUUAAAAAUUAAGGCAAAAAUGAGAAUGUUGUAAAGAUCCUUAUUUUUAUCUUUGGAUUCCUGUGUCCAGAUUCUCAAAGAUUCUUAUAAUAAUUUUCUCCCUCUUAUAAUGGGAUGAAAGUGAGUUUUAUUAUGGUUGUCUCAGUACAAUGUUGAGGCCAUUUGGGCCAGUUUGUGUUUGUUUGUUGUAGGUAAAGUGAGCUGGCUAAUGGCUCCCUCACAUCACCCAUCAGGGGAGAAAGUUAACAUAACAAACCUUUGAGAAUCUUGGUUGUGGGCUGUAACAAUCUCCUUUUAUCAAAGUUGGUGGAUUUUAUGGAAGCUGAAGCUUAAUGGCUACAAAAACUUGGGGCUGUGUAAGAGAGGUGUUGUCGCCUGUUCAGACAAGAUGACAUUCCCUUUCUCACACGCUUCAAGAAAGUAAAAAAAAAAAAGAAUAAAAUAAAAUACUGCACUUGAGUUGCAGCUGGAGGGGCAUGAAAUUGACAAAUUUAUGUUUAUUACCAUUAGUUUUGGAUCACUUACAGCACCGUCACAUCUGUUGACACUUGGAGUGAAGCACUCUUCUCUCUUUAGGCCUCAACGUUGAAAUGCCUCCACAGUAUUCCAAAAAUUUCCACCUAAAAUCUCAACGAAUAUUAAUUGACCUCAGAAUCUGAUUUCUUGUGUCUUAAAAAUUGGAUAUAGUGCUUCCCUGACCUCAAAAUUCCUUCACCACAAAAAGUUAUAAUAAAAGAAAGAUGCCCAAAA
This 7913-nucleotide unclassified non-coding RNA is filed under the name Homarus americanus (American lobster). RNAcentral describes it as "terminal nucleotidyltransferase 4B-like, transcript variant X5". The record is from RNAcentral. Lineage: Eukaryota; Metazoa; Arthropoda; Malacostraca; Decapoda; Nephropidae.